GGCUCCAUGGUCAAGUGGUUAAGACAUCGCCCUUUCACGGCGGUAUCAGGGGUUCAAAUCCCCUUGGAGUCA
Molecule: transfer RNA, 72 nt
Filed under: Lachnospiraceae bacterium
Lineage: Bacteria; Bacillati; Bacillota; Clostridia; Lachnospirales; Lachnospiraceae
Description: tRNA-Glu
Rfam family: tRNA
About the family: Transfer RNA (tRNA) molecules are approximately 80 nucleotides in length.
Source: RNAcentral